This 490-nucleotide ribosomal RNA is filed under the name Morganella morganii. RNAcentral's name for it is "bacterial SSU rRNA". It matches the Rfam family "Bacterial small subunit ribosomal RNA", at positions 30 to 507 of the family's 1533-position model. The record is from RNAcentral. Lineage: Bacteria; Pseudomonadati; Pseudomonadota; Gammaproteobacteria; Enterobacterales; Morganellaceae.
AUUGAACGCUGGCGGCAGGCCUAACACAUGCAAGUCGGGCGGUAACAGGGAGAAGCUUGCUUCUCUGCUGACGAGCGGCGGACGGGUGAGUAAUGUAUGGGGAUCUGCCUGAUGGAGGGGGAUAACUACUGGAAACGGUAGCUAAUACCGCAUAAUGUCUCCGGACCAAAGCGGGGGACCUUCGGGCCUCGCACCAUCAGAUGAACCCAUAUGGGAUUAGCUUGUAGGUGAGGUAACGGCUCACCUAGGCGACGAUCCCUAGCUGGUCUGAGAGGAUGAUCAGCCACACUGGGACUGAGACACGGCCCAGACUCCUACGGGAGGCAGCAGUGGGGAAUAUUGCACAAUGGGCGCAAGCCUGAUGCAGCCAUGCCGCGUGUAUGAAGAAGGCCUUCGGGUUGUAAAGUACUUUCAGUCGGGAGGAAGGUGUUAAGGUUAAUAACCUUAACAAUUGACGUUACCGACAGAAGAAGCACCGGCUAACUCCGUG